This 796-nucleotide ribosomal RNA is filed under the name uncultured beta proteobacterium. RNAcentral's name for it is "bacterial SSU rRNA". It matches the Rfam family "Bacterial small subunit ribosomal RNA", at positions 75 to 867 of the family's 1533-position model. The record is from RNAcentral. Lineage: Bacteria; Pseudomonadati; Pseudomonadota; Betaproteobacteria.
GGGGGCAACCCCCGAGUAGAGUGGCGAACGGGUGAGUAAUACAUCGGAACGUACCCAGUAGCGGGGGAUAACCUCUCGAAAGAGAGGCUAAUACCGCAUACGACCUACGGGUGAAAGAGGGGGAUCGCAAGACCUCUCACUAUUGGAGCGGCCGAUGUCGGAUUAGCUAGUUGGUGGGGUAAAAGCCUACCAAGGCGACGAUCCGUAGCUGGUCUGAGAGGACGGCCAGCCACACUGGAACUGAGACACGGUCCAGACUCCUACGGGAGGCAGCAGUGGGGAAUUUUGGACAAUGGGCGAAAGCCUGAUCCAGCCAUGCCGCGUGAGUGAAGAAGGCCUUCGGGUUGUAAAGCUCUUUCGGCUGGGACGAAAAGGUCCGUGCUAACACCACGGAUCCAUGACGGUACCAGCAGAAGAAGCACCGGCUAACUACGUGCCAGCAGCCGCGGUAAUACGUAGGGUGCAGGCGUUAAUCGGAAUUACUGGGCGUAAAGCGUGCGCAGGCGGUUUGCUAAGACAGGUGUGAAAUCCCCGGGCUUAACCUGGGAACUGCGCUUGUAACUGGCAAGCUGGAGUGUGGCAGAGGGGGGGUGGAAUUCCACGUGUAGCAGUGAAAUGCGUAGAGAUGUGGAGGAACACCGAUGGCGAAGGCAGCCCCCUGGGCUAACACUGACGCUCAUGCACGAAAGCGUGGGGAGCAAACAGGAUUAGAUACCCUGGUAGUCCACGCCCUAAACUAUGUCAACUGGUUGUCGGGGAAGCAAUUCCUUGGUAACGAAGCUAACGCGUGAAGUUG